CCGCGCGCCGCUGACCGUUGCCCGCCAACGGCUCCGGCAGCGCCGCCGCCGGGAGAGGGGGCGCCGGGCCGCCCUGGGCCCGCGCAGCCUGCGCGGGGCGCCGAUCCCCGAACCGGCCUAGCCCGCGGGCACGGGCUCCCCGCGUCCCCCCGGGGAUGCAACUCCCUCCCGGCCCUGGGACCCCGGCUGGGGGAACCGGCGCGACGGUGCGGGGCUCUCAGCGGUCCCCGCUGCAACUGUGCCCCCUCCUGCCGCCCGGACCCCCGCCCCCCUCGGAUCAGGGGCGGCUGCACCCAGCGCCGCGGAACUGCCGCCGGCGAACCCAGCGCCGGCCGCGGCGCAGCGCCUCCGCCUCGCCUCGCCUCACCUCACGGCGUGGCCGGUGCCCUGCGGAGCCCAGCGCAGCACAAGCCCGGCCUGAGCCCAACCCUCCGGGAAGUUUCCUGCCAUCGCGGCGGCCGGGGAAAACAACAGCUUCAAAGCCAGGAGCCGGAGCAAGAGGAAGGGCAGCGCGAGCAGAAAAGUGAGGGGCAUCGCUCGCCCGCCGCGCCGCUGCCGUCGGCGGCCGACCCCCGCGGAGGGCAGCCCGCUCAGCGCCGCCUCCCCAUUCGCUUCGGCGGCGGCCCCGCCGCACCGGCAGCGCCGCGGAACCGCCGGGCCGAGGAGCAGGCAGGCGAGCCGCCGCCUCCCGCCUGCCGGCAGCCUCCCCGGGCCGCCCGUCCCGCUCGCCGCAGCGCCGCCGAACCCCGCCCGCGCCCCCGCCCGCCCGCGCGGCGGCUCCGCCUCCCGGGGGCGCGCGCAGGCUCCGGCCGAGCGGCUCCUGCGGCCCCCGGCGGCAGCGGGCGCUCCCGGGGGGCGGCCGCGGAGCCCGGCGCCCCGCACCGGCGGCCGGAGGGGCGGCGGAGGGCGGCUCGGCUGCGCUGCGACCCGCCACCCGUUCCUCGGCGCCAAGUGUCGCGCAGGCUGUGCCUGCAGAGUUGGAGACGCCUCGUUAAGAUGCAGGUAGAAGAGAUGCGGAAGGCAGGGCGAGCAAGUGCGAAGGAGCCCCCAGCCUCCCGCCAGGCAGGGACGUCAGCGUGCUAACAGGUCACUACAUCAGAUCACAACUGCUCGCAGAAAUUGGAACAUGAAAGAAUAAGGAAGGUUCUCAUUCUCCCAAAUGGAUCUCUUGAGCAUGAAGCUGAUGGGAUACCAGCAAAAUGUCAGCAGCUACAUCCACUGAUACUGCUUUGACUUUUGAGAAGUUCAGCUCUUGAUUGAGUUCAGCUGCCCUGCACCCACAGAGCUAUGGUUGAGAACCAUAAGGCAAAUCCAGAAAGGAAGCAAUCCUUUCUGGCUGCUUUAAAAAUGCUCGACCAAGUAAAAUUUCAUCUUUAUUCUUACAUUUUCCUUAACAAGUGGGUGUGAGCACAUUUUUUGUGGAAAUUUCCUAGCAGAGGAAAAUAGAUGUUACAUUCUACUGCUCAUUUCGAGUAGAAAGCUCAAAAUGUGGGCUCUGUUUGUUUUCUGGGAUGCACUCUGAACUCCUCCCAUCUGAAAUAAGCAUAACUAACCAGUGAGAAACUACCCCACUGGGGCUUCUGAUUUGUUUUGGUGUGGUUGGAUAAAGUCUUUAAAGGCUUUUUCUAGCAUAGGGGAGGCAUGAUAUAUUAAUUCAAUUUGAAAAUCCUCAGAUAUUAUCACUGCACUCCAUCUUGUGGAAGAGGCAACAAUACAUUUUAAAAUGAUCCUGUAGUGGGUUUUUUGAGUAAUUAAACCUAACAAUGUCUGGUUCUUACUGCCAUAGCAAGGAACUACAUAUAGCAGUGGAUACCUUCUUGUAAUACCUUGUUUAAUUCUCAAUCUGCCUAAUUGCACGCAAUGGAUUUAUGUAAAUAUGCCUUGGUUUUAGGUAUGGGCUUCACAUCUCCUUCUUUGCUUUGGAAAGGAGCUUUAGGAAAGCAUUUGAAAAGUGGAAUUUGAAAAGAGAAACUAAAGCAUCCGUGGCUCCAGUUGCCACGGAGCACCCCAGAUUUGGGAGAGUCAUAAACUGGAAGAAGCAGCCAGAUGGUGUGUAGGGAUGGUGAUCUGUGGGAGUAUGUGGCUGGGGUAAAAACUCUGCUAAGCAGGAUUGCUCUGUAGGAACUGACUGGUUUGUUUUGUUUGUGGGGUGUUUGGGUUUUUUUUUUUACCCCUAUUAUAAGUACAAUAAUUUAACUGUAUCUGGAACACUGUAGUAAGUAUCACUACCUGUCUUGCCAAAAAAUCCCAAACAAUGAGGUUCUGUCUGCCCUCCUGAAACUGCUUUUUGUGGUUUGUGACCUUUUUCCCCUUUAUAUUCAGUGCUGCUUUGGGAAAUCAGGAUAGGUAUUGGCAUGACAACUAUGCACCAUAGCAAAGGCAUAUUCAUACAUAUUUGUGUCUGGCCAGGUGCAGAGAAAAUUGACAAACUUACCUGGAUUCACAGCUAUACAAGGGUUAACCUUGUAAUAGUUGCCCUAGGACAAGCUUGAAGAUAAAGCCAUU
RNAcentral lists this long non-coding RNA (2505 nucleotides) under Falco tinnunculus (common kestrel). RNAcentral describes it as "lncRNA (ENSFTIG00000004467.1)". The record is from RNAcentral. Lineage: Eukaryota; Metazoa; Chordata; Aves; Falconiformes; Falconidae.